UCACGCUGUAAACGAUGUCGAUUUGGAGGUUGUUCCCUUGAGGAGUGGCUUCCGGAGCUAACGCGUUAAAUCGACCGCUGGGGAGUACGGCCGCAAGGUUAAAACUCAAAUGAAUUGACGGGGGCCCGCACAAGCGGUGGAGCAUGUGGUUUAAUUCGAUGCAACGCGAAGAACCUUACCUACUCUUGACAUCCAGAGAAUUUAGCAGAGAUGCUUUAGUGCCUUCGGGAACUCUGAGACAGGUGCUGCAUGGCUGUCGUCAGCUCGUGUUGUGAAAUGUUGGGUUAAGUCCCGCAACGAGCGCAACCCUUAUCCUUUGUUGCCAGCACAUUAUGGUGGGAACUCAAAGGAGACUGCCGGUGAUAAACCGGAGGAAGGUGGGGAUGACGUCAAGUCAUCAUGGCCCUUACGAGUAGGGCUACACACGUGCUACAAUGGCGUAUACAAAGAGAAGCGACCUCGCGAGAGCAAGCGGAACUCAUAAAGUACGUCGUAGUCCGGAUUGGAGUCUGCAACUCGACUCCAUGAAGUCGGAAUCGCUAGUAAUCGUAGAUCAGAAUGCUACGGUGAAUACGUUCCCGGGCCUUGUACACACCGCCCGUCACACCAUGGGAGUGGGUUGCAAAAGAAGUAGGUAGCUUAACCUUCGGGAGGGCGCUUACCACUUUGUGAUUCAUGACUGGGGUGAAGUCGUAACAAGGUAACCA
RNAcentral lists this ribosomal RNA (707 nucleotides) under uncultured Enterobacteriaceae bacterium. Its description in RNAcentral is "bacterial SSU rRNA". It matches the Rfam family "Bacterial small subunit ribosomal RNA", at positions 795 to 1502 of the family's 1533-position model. Lineage: Bacteria; Pseudomonadati; Pseudomonadota; Gammaproteobacteria; Enterobacterales; Enterobacteriaceae. The record is from RNAcentral.